GGGUUUACGACCUCGAUGUUGGAUCAGGGUAUCCCAGUGGUGCAGCCGCUACUAAAGGUUCGUUUGUUCAACGAUUAAAACCCUACGUGAUCUGAGUUCAGACCGGAGCAAUCCAGGUCAGUUUCUAUCUAUAAAGAGCUUUUUCUAGUACGAAAGGACCGAAAAAGCAUGGCCUAUACAUCUCGCACGCCAUAAAUGACAAUUUAUGAUUCAAACUAAAUAAAUACUCAAUCUUCCAUCUAUCUCAAGACAAGAGA
RNAcentral lists this ribosomal RNA (257 nucleotides) under Smilisca baudinii (Mexican treefrog). RNAcentral's name for it is "partial 16S ribosomal RNA". It matches the Rfam family "Bacterial large subunit ribosomal RNA", at positions 2514 to 2835 of the family's 2925-position model. Lineage: Eukaryota; Metazoa; Chordata; Amphibia; Anura; Hylidae. The record is from RNAcentral.